RNAcentral lists this ribosomal RNA (642 nucleotides) under Salmonella enterica. RNAcentral describes it as "partial 23S ribosomal RNA". It matches the Rfam family "Bacterial large subunit ribosomal RNA", at positions 2202 to 2838 of the family's 2925-position model. Lineage: Bacteria; Pseudomonadati; Pseudomonadota; Gammaproteobacteria; Enterobacterales; Enterobacteriaceae. RNAcentral also lists the same sequence under 1 other name. The record is from RNAcentral.
ACCCUUUAAUGUUUGAUGUUCUAACGUGGACCCGUGAUCCGGGUUGCGGACAGUGUCUGGUGGGUAGUUUGACUGGGGCGGUCUCCUCCUAAAGAGUAACGGAGGAGCACGAAGGUUGGCUAAUCCUGGUCGGACAUCAGGAGGUUAGUGCAAUGGCAUAAGCCAGCUUGACUGCGAGCGUGACGGCGCGAGCAGGUGCGAAAGCAGGUCAUAGUGAUCCGGUGGUUCUGAAUGGAAGGGCCAUCGCUCAACGGAUAAAAGGUACUCCGGGGAUAACAGGCUGAUACCGCCCAAGAGUUCAUAUCGACGGCGGUGUUUGGCACCUCGAUGUCGGCUCAUCACAUCCUGGGGCUGAAGUAGGUCCCAAGGGUAUGGCUGUUCGCCAUUUAAAGUGGUACGCGAGCUGGGUUUAGAACGUCGUGAGACAGUUCGGUCCCUAUCUGCCGUGGGCGCUGGAGAACUGAGGGGGGCUGCUCCUAGUACGAGAGGACCGGAGUGGACGCAUCACUGGUGUUCGGGUUGUCAUGCCAAUGGCACUGCCCGGUAGCUAAAUGCGGAAGAGAUAAGUGCUGAAAGCAUCUAAGCACGAAACUUGCCCCGAGAUGAGUUCUCCCUGAGACUUAAAGUCUCCUGAAGGAACGU